UCAGGAUGAACGCUGGCGGCGUGCCUAACACAUGCAAGUCGAGCGAUUCUCUUCGGAGAAGAGCGGCGGACGGGUGAGUAACGCGUGGGUAACCUGCCCUGUACACACGGAUAACAUACCGAAAGGUAUGCUAAUACGAGAUAAUAUACUUUUAUCACAUGGUAGAAGUAUCAAAGCUUUUGCGGUACAGGAUGGACCCGCGUCUGAUUAGCUAGUUGGUAAGGUAACGGCUUACCAAGGCGACGAUCAGUAGCCGACCUGAGAGGGUGAUCGGCCACAUUGGAACUGAGACACGGUCCAAACUCCUACGGGAGGCAGCAGUGGGGAAUAUUGCACAAUGGGCGAAAGCCUGAUGCAGCAACGCCGCGUGAGUGAUGAAGGCCUUCGGGUCGUAAAGCUCUGUCCUCAAGGAAGAUAAUGACGGUACUUGAGGAGGAAGCCCCGGCUAACUACGUGCCAGCAGCCGCGGUAAUACGUAGGGGGCUAGCGUUAUCCGGAAUUACUGGGCGUAAAGGGUGCGUAGGUGGUUUCUUAAGUCAGAGGUGAAAGGCUACGGCUCAACCGUAGUAAGCCUUUGAAACUGGGAAACUUGAGUGCAGGAGAGGAGAGUGGAAUUCCUAGUGUAGCGGUGAAAUGCGUAGAUAUUAGGAGGAACACCAGUUGCGAAGGCGGCUCUCUGGACUGUAACUGACACUGAGGCACGAAAGCGUGGGGAGCAAACAGGAUUAGAUACCCUGGUAGUCCACGCCGUAAACGAUGAGUACUAGCUGUCGGAGGUUACCCCCUUCGGUGGCGCAGCUAACGCAUUAAGUACUCCGCCUGGGAAGUACGCUCGCAAGAGUGAAACUCAAAGGAAUUGACG
This 862-nucleotide ribosomal RNA is filed under the name uncultured bacterium. RNAcentral describes it as "bacterial SSU rRNA". It matches the Rfam family "Bacterial small subunit ribosomal RNA", at positions 24 to 915 of the family's 1533-position model. The record is from RNAcentral.